Long non-coding RNA from Haliaeetus leucocephalus (bald eagle), 2793 nucleotides. RefSeq lists it as uncharacterized. NCBI's taxonomy places the organism in Eukaryota, Metazoa, Chordata, Aves, Accipitriformes, Accipitridae. The transcript is spliced from 11 exons. The record is from RefSeq and is a predicted model, not a curated record.
CGGGAGGGGCCGCAGCCCGGGAGGGGGCUGCCAGGCGUUUCGGUACGGGCUCUCCAGAGGUAGCUGGUGCAUCUUAUUUUCCUCCCAGUACCUACAGAAAAUUAAUGAAUUUAAACACAAAUACCAAUGUGUUCUAUCAAUGAACGUGCAUCGCCCCGAGGAAAUCGCAACAUUCCAGUUGUAUGCUGCUGCGCUUGAGGGUACUGAAGCCCAGAUUGCUGGACUGGUGGAAAUGUUUCUGGUGGAGGUAUACAGGUACAAGCUCUGUCAGUUCACAGGCAGCAUCAAAAGUAAGAUCAGGACACACCUGGCUCAGGUGCAUGAAACGGUUACAGCGUGUCAGAUUUCAGGCUGUCCUAAAGUGGACCAAGAUGAAAAUGAGUCAUAUAGCAUGGGAAAUGAAGCUAACCAAGAAAAGAAAGAAAACAAAGAAAAUAUUGCAAAAAAAGUCUGUCUUAUUACCUCUGUAUCAGAUGCUUCAAAAUAUGAGUACUCACUGUUGCGACGUGAGCCCAAGGAGUCAGAGCAAUAAUCCUCGUGUCUCUCACUCCUGUGACGUUAACACCUUGUUUGGAGAAGCAGCAGCUCAUUGCAGCUGGAGAAGUCCCGUUCUAUAGUGCAGACUUCUCUUUCCUAUUCCAAGAGCGAAGAUGAAUAAGCCCGGUCUGUGCAUCUUGGCCUCCGUUGCGUUGCCAGUGUUAGAACUUGGACCUUAGCUUAGAUAAAAACCCCUAAAGCUGAACCAAGGUGUAAAAAUUACAGAAAUCAGAAGAAAGCUAGAUGUGACAGUAAGGGGUUAGCUCAUCCUGUGAAAGGUGCUUGUGCCUUAAAGCUGAGUUCUGAGAGAAUGCAGCGUUUCUGCAACACAUGCAACAUAGCACUGAAGUUGAAAGAUGCUCAUAAAAUCCAUGAAAAGGGUCCUGAUGUGGAUUGUGGCUUUAAAUGCCUUUAUUGUUGCAUGACUGAGUGGGACUUAAGAAAAAUAAUUUAAAAUCACACAAGCAGAUAAAGGAAACCUACCAGUGCCUCAUCUGUGAAAGUGUUUUUAUGUCACUAAGUGCCUGGAAAGUGCACAGGAACAGCCAUCAAAGGAAACCUCCUCUCUUUCAUUGCACAAUAUAUUCAUCAUCUUUCGAAACUGAGCAGAUAAGAAAUCUUCACGUAACUUGCCGUUAUCAGGAUCCGUUUAAAUGUCCGCAAAGUGUUUUUACCACUAAGGAAUGGAUCAAGGUCUACAAGCAUCUGCACAACCAUGAUUACAAUUUCAAGCAGCAUCCAUGUACUGAAUGUGAGAGAUGACAGAGACUUUUUUCCAAAUACUUUGUGUUCCCAUAGAAGAUACUACAUCCUUCAUACUUGCUUUCCAUUUCCUGGUAGGCAAGAAACCUUUCAAAUGUGAGAUCUGCUCUUAUGCCUCCAUUGAUGCAAGCUCUCUGCAGUGGCAUUUCAGACACCCGAUUGUGAGAGGUGCUACAAAUGUUGACUGUUCAUAUGGUUGUGUUGGCAGAGUGUGUCAUGUGACGAGUGGGAGCAUUAGCUAGUCUUAGUAAAGCCGUGUUGAAACAUUCAGAAGAAGAGCUUGGACCUUCACAUAUGCUGACAUCACACUGGAGAGGCAUUUGACUGUAGUUUUUGCUGCUAUUCUACCCCUGACAAGCAACUUCUUUGAAAACACAUAAGAAAUAACACCUGGGUUCGGGAGCCUCAUUAGCCAGAUCCCAGCCCGCCUUUACCCUCAAAUCACUUCCUGUGGAACAUUAGGUUCUUCAUGUUUAAACUUCCACCAGAGCAUCACAACAAAUAAAGAAGCUGUUGGCAUUGUCAGACUUUUGUGCUGAAAGCCAGAGGUUAUCUGGAAGAAGAGGAGAAACCGUCCUUAUGUGGCAAUUAGAAGCACUUAGGAUGGUCUUCUCAAAAAGCUUUGUGUACAUUAUUGUACAGGUGGUAACUCCAAUCUGCUGAGAGGAACAUGGAGAUUUGUGCUGCACAAAGGGUGGACAUGUUGACUUUUGUUCUGGUUACCUCUUGCUGAUACAUUCCGCUUACUUACAAAUGAAGAGUUUGGCAUUUCAAGGCAGAAUCUCUUGAAAUGUACCAAAGCUGACAGUGAACCCUACAGGUGGUUUCUGUACUACAUAUCUCAUUUUUAAUACAGGUCUCUAUAUAAAACAGUGGAUGAUUCAAGAAAAUCUACUGAUGCUGUAGUACUCAUAAUAUGACAGAAGCAAACAGUGACUGAAGUGUGUCUACACUGUUCUCUUAAACACAAUUGUAAAGAAUAUACUACUUUAACACAAUAGAAGUUUCCCUUCAGGUCAUUCCGCAUAUAACAGGAAAUGUAAAAGGCCAACAGAAAUAAAUAGGCUACAAGCACAGCAGCAGUGUUGGCAGAAAAUAUCUCAAAAGCAUUUACGGAUUAUGUUUCCUCAUCUACAGUGUAUUGAUUAUUUUCACAAUAAGCAGCUGCCUGUGGAUUCUUGGAUACAGAAAACAUGUGCCAAGAGAUGGCAUGUGAAGAUGAACCAACAGACAUGGGAAAGUGAGCAAUGCAGCAUAACUUUCACAGGAUGCAAUUAAACCUGCCUUAGUCACUGCUGGAGGAACAGGCAGAAACAGAGCUUGUAAGCAACCAGAAGCAAGAGGAACACUUCUCUGAUGUCUGACAAACCAGUGUUUUGGGCGAGACUUCCUUUAUGAACUGUGCUUGACACCUUAAAAAUGAUGCUUGAGAGCCUAAAAUGAAAUUGCGGGCAUCAUGGGCAGCCAGUGGGACCUUCAGAGAGUGACUGAGAG